Molecule: long non-coding RNA, 1362 nt
Organism: Hevea brasiliensis (rubber tree)
Lineage: Eukaryota; Viridiplantae; Streptophyta; Magnoliopsida; Malpighiales; Euphorbiaceae
Exons: 3
Source: RefSeq, a predicted model, not a curated record
AAAAAAGUGAAAUGAAUUGAGCCAAACAAGAUCUUAGCAAAAAAAUUUAGAUUAAACAAAAAUAUUAUUUUAUCAAAUUUUAUGGAUGUACUAAUUAUAAAAUCUGCAUCUUUUUAAAACAUGUUUAUAUUUAUUUUGAGUUCUAUUAUUUUAAAUAGAUCUUGAAUUGUUAUCUCUUGUAAAAGAUUUAUUAUCUCUUUUUUAUUGUGAGAAUUUGAUAUUUCCUUCAUUUGGAAGGAUUUGUUUUAUAUUAUGGAGUUUCUUAGGCAUAAUAUUUUAUUAUUUAAUAGAAAUACAAUGAUACUAAAUCUUUACCGUAAAUCCUUACAAUGGAGGAAAUAACAAAUCCUUACUAAGAUCUAUAAAUACAUGUUUGUUUUAAAAGAAUAUAGGUAUGGAGAUUAUUGAAAACAAUUAAAAAAAAAAGAAAAAGAGAGAGAGAAAUGAGAGAGUUUAGAGACCCAUUUAAGCUAUGAAACGAAGAAGAGCUCAAAUGAAAAGAGAGGCAUCUACUUACUUUAAAAGAGUCAAACAUUAUCUCAUUGAAGUUAUAUACUGCAGCUGCCUACCGAGGGAAUGCCUUUGAAGUUAUAUACUGCAGCUGCAAAUGAUUCAAUUGGGUGCUUUUCUAGCUUCAAACAAUAACAAAAGACAGGAGUAAGCUAUUUAUUAUCUAAGCAGAGUCCUUAUUCCCAUCAAAAUGAGGGAGAGAAUGCGAAGCAGAAACUAUUAUGGCAAUAUAGAGCACCAACAAAAAUGCUCACCGAAUUAGCAUUUCCUGAUCUUCUGGCUCUCUCAGCUAAAGCUUCUCAGGAAUGUCUUUAAGUUUGGUUGAAUUACAAUUCCUCAUAUACAUGCAGUAUAACUUGCAUUAAGGUUCAUCACGCAUUGAGAGUAAUUAUCUAUAUUUUCUUGUCAAAUUGAACAUUGCCUUUGACAGCUAAAGCUUCUCAGGAAUGUCUUUAAGUUUGGUUGAAUCACAAUUCCUCAUAUACAUGCAAUAUAACUUGCAUUAAGGUUCAUCACGCAGGUAAUUAUUAUUGAUUUCUUGGUUCACAUUGGAAAUUUUCAGGAUUAAAUUGUGUAUAUAUGACCUGUUCAGUUACGCAGGUAAAUUGGAAAUUUUCAGGAUUAAGUUGUGUAUAUAUGACCUGUUCAGUUACGCAGGUAAUUAUUAUUGAUUUCUUGGUUCACAUUGGAAAUUUUCAGGAGUAAGUUGUGUAUAUAUGACCUGUUCAGUUACGCAGGUAAAUUGGAAAUUUUCAGGAUUAAGUUGUGUAUAUAUGACCUGUUCAGUUACGCAGGUAAUUAUUAUUGAUUUCUUGGUUCACAUUGGAAAUUUUCAGGAUUAAGUUGUGUAUU